AUUAUAUUGGCAGAAACAAUGCAUUAGAAUUAGAAUCUAAUUAACUAUAUAUUA
This 54-nucleotide transfer RNA is filed under the name Lycosa fasciiventris. Its description in RNAcentral is "tRNA-Leu". Lineage: Eukaryota; Metazoa; Arthropoda; Arachnida; Araneae; Lycosidae. The record is from RNAcentral.